AGGAUAGAGCGGAUGGUCGCUGGUUCCCGAGCGCAAGUUUGGGACGAGAGGAAAGUCCGAGCUCCGCAGGGUAGCGUAGUGGGUAACGCCCAUCGCUUCGUACCUCGGUACGGAGUAGGAUCAGAGCCACAGAGACGAGUCAAAUUUUGCUUUGUAAAGUAUUUCGGUAGCUAAGAUGCUUGCUACUCGCUCGCAUCUUUUAACGCUGCCUCAAUACCAAAUUUUGCAGAGCAAAAUUUGGGUGAAACGCGGUAAUCUCUACGCGGAGAAAGGUUAAAUAGGAAGGGAUGCUUAUAUGGCAACGAACCGACCCGGUUCGUCAUUACUUUCGGGUUGACCGCUAAUUGAUCUUGUCGGCAACGGCAAGGCUAGAUGGAUGGCCGUCAAAUACAGAACUCGGCUUAUAGCUCUAUCCUCUUU
This 420-nucleotide RNase P RNA is filed under the name Candidatus Omnitrophota bacterium. Its description in RNAcentral is "RNase P RNA component class A". It matches the Rfam family "Bacterial RNase P class A". Rfam says of the family: Ribonuclease P (RNase P) is a ubiquitous endoribonuclease, found in archaea, bacteria and eukarya as well as chloroplasts and mitochondria. The record is from RNAcentral. Lineage: Bacteria; Pseudomonadati; Candidatus Omnitrophota.